Non-coding RNA from Pelobates cultripes (western spadefoot toad), 204 nucleotides. The record is from the annotation of a GenBank genome assembly. Lineage: Eukaryota; Metazoa; Chordata; Amphibia; Anura; Pelobatidae.
AUUAACAUAGCAGGGGAUAAGAAAAUCUUAAUUAAACAGAACUUGCAAUAAAGAAAGCCUAAAUAGGGCUCUCUUUACAGGAAGUGUUUAUGGAGGGCUGUGCAAGUCACAUGCAGGGAGGUGUGACUAGGGUUCAUAAACAAAGGGAUUUAACUCCUAAAUGGCAGGGGAUGGAGCAGUGAGGCUGCAGGGGCAUGUUCUAUA